CGCCCCUGCACGGUGGGUGGGGACCCUAAAUAACAAUAUUGUUAUUUAGGGUCCCCACCCACCGUCCAGGGGCG
This is a non-coding RNA of Pelobates cultripes (western spadefoot toad), 74 nucleotides long. The record is from the annotation of a GenBank genome assembly. NCBI's taxonomy places the organism in Eukaryota, Metazoa, Chordata, Amphibia, Anura, Pelobatidae.